AGCGGCGGACGGGUGGAGUAACGACGUGGGUAACCGUGCCUCAGUACAGGGGGAGUAACAGUUAGAAAUGACUGCUAAUACCGCAUAAGCGCACAGGACUGCAUGGUCGAGUGUGAAAAACUACCGGUGGUAUGAGAUGGACCCGCGUCUGAUUAGCUAGUUGUGGGGUAACGGGCCUCCCAAGGCGACGAUCAGUAGCCGACCUGAGAGGGUGACCGGCCACAUUGGGACUGAGACACGGCCCAAACUCCUACGGGAGGCAGCAGUGGGGAAGUAUUGCACAAUGGGGGAAACCCGUCGAUGCAGCGACGCCGCGUGAGUGAAGAAGUAUUUCGGUAUGUAAAGCUCUAUCAGCAGGGAAGAAAAUGACGGUACCUGACUAAGAAGCCCCGGCUAACUACGUGCCAGCAGCCGCGGUAA
This 420-nucleotide ribosomal RNA is filed under the name uncultured bacterium. RNAcentral's name for it is "bacterial SSU rRNA". It matches the Rfam family "Bacterial small subunit ribosomal RNA", at positions 94 to 523 of the family's 1533-position model. The record is from RNAcentral.